This 72-nucleotide transfer RNA is filed under the name Peniophora lycii. RNAcentral's name for it is "tRNA-Arg". It matches the Rfam family "tRNA". Rfam says of the family: Transfer RNA (tRNA) molecules are approximately 80 nucleotides in length. Their secondary structure includes four short double-helical elements and three loops (D, anti-codon, and T loops). Lineage: Eukaryota; Fungi; Basidiomycota; Agaricomycetes; Russulales; Peniophoraceae. The record is from RNAcentral.
GCAUCUUUAGCUGAAUGGUAAAGCAUAUGACUUCGAAUCAUUAGGAUGUUGGUUCGACUCCAACAAGAUGUU